GAUGAACGCUAGCUACAGGCUUAACACAUGCAAGUCGAGGGGAAACGGCAUCGAAAGCUUGCUUUUGAUGGGCGUCGACCGGCGCACGGGUGAGUAACGCGUAUCCAACCUGCCCAUCACUUGGGAAUAACCUUGCGAAAGUAAGACUAAUGCCCAAUGACAUCCCACGAAGGCAUCCGAAUGGGAUUAAAGAUUUAUCGGUGAUGGAUGGGGAUGCGUCUGAUUAGCUUGUUGGCGGGGUGACGGCCCACCAAGGCAACGAUCAGUAGGGGUUCUGAGAGGAAGGUCCCCCACAUUGGAACUGAGACACGGUCCAAACUCCUACGGGAGGCAGCAGUGAGGAAUAUUGGUCAAUGGGCGAGAGCCUGAACCAGCCAAGUAGCGUGCAGGAUGACGGCCCUAUGGGUUGUAAACUGCUUUUAUAAGGGAAUAAAGUGGGACACGUGUGACUUUUUGCAUGUACCUUAUGAAUAAGGACCGGCUAAUUCCGUG
Molecule: ribosomal RNA, 492 nt
Filed under: uncultured bacterium
Lineage: Bacteria
Description: partial 16S ribosomal RNA
Rfam family: Bacterial small subunit ribosomal RNA
Source: RNAcentral